RNAcentral lists this ribosomal RNA (413 nucleotides) under uncultured bacterium. Its description in RNAcentral is "bacterial SSU rRNA". It matches the Rfam family "Bacterial small subunit ribosomal RNA", at positions 355 to 786 of the family's 1533-position model. The record is from RNAcentral.
UGGGGAAUAUUGCACAAUGGGCGAAAGCCUGAUGCAGCAACGCCGCGUGAGCGAAGAAGGUCUUCGGAUCGUAAAGCUCUGUCCUUGGGGAAGAUAAUGACGGUACCCAAGGAGGAAGCCCCGGCUAACUACGUGCCAGCAGCCGCGGUAAUACGUAGGGGGCAAGCGUUAUCCGGAAUUAUUGGGCGUAAAGAGUGCGUAGGUGGUUACCUAAGCAGGGGUGAAAGGCACUGGCUUAACCAAUGUCGGCCCUCUGAACUGGGCUACUUGAGUGCAGGAGAGGAAAGCGGAAUUCCUAGUGUAGCGGUGAAAUGCGUAGAUAUUAGGAGGAACACCAGUGGCGAAGGCGGCUUUCUGGACUGAAACUGACACUGAGGCACGAAAAGUGUGGGGAGCAAACAGGAUUAGAUACC